This 443-nucleotide ribosomal RNA is filed under the name uncultured bacterium. RNAcentral's name for it is "partial 16S ribosomal RNA". It matches the Rfam family "Bacterial small subunit ribosomal RNA", at positions 338 to 795 of the family's 1533-position model. The record is from RNAcentral.
CCUACGUGGUGCAGCAGUGGGGGAUCUUGGACACUGUGGGGAACCCUGAUCCAUCGACGCCGCUUGAGUGACGAAGUAUUUCGGUAUGUAAAGCUCUGUCAGCAGGGAAGAAAGACAUGACGGUACCUGACCAAGAAGCCCCUGCUAACUACGUGCCAGCAGCCGCGGUAAUACGUAGGGGGCAAUCGUUAUCCGGAAUUACUGGGUGUAAAGGGAGCGUAGACGGUUAAGUAAGUCUGGAGUGAAAGGCCGGGGCCCAACCCCGGGACUGCUCUGGAUACGAUUGAGCUUGAGUGCAGGAGAGGUAAGCGGAAUUCCUAGUGUAGCGGUGAAAGGCGUAGAUAUUAGGAGGAACACCAGUGGCGAAGGCGGCUUACUGGACUGUAACUGACGUUGAGGCUCGAAAGCGUGGGGAGCAAACAGGAUUAGAUACCCCUGUAGUC